Molecule: small RNA, 33 nt
Filed under: Arabidopsis thaliana (thale cress)
Lineage: Eukaryota; Viridiplantae; Streptophyta; Magnoliopsida; Brassicales; Brassicaceae
Description: ATSL188140
Source: RNAcentral
AAGUUAAUGGAGGAGGCAUAUCUGGACUACCGU